GUUUAUGUGAAAUUUGGAUGUAGGAAGUAACAAUACAAUCUGACUAUAGAAAAUUACAGUGGCUCAUAUGCAGAAUAGUUCUUCAUGUGUGGAUGCAUUGUAAUUAGUUUUAUCUCAAAACUUUUUUACAUUUAUGACUAAUUAUAGCUGCUGGGCUGCUGCGGUGUUCUUUAUUUUGGUCUGCAUGUGUUUUUGGCUUUGGC
RNAcentral lists this unclassified non-coding RNA (203 nucleotides) under Hevea brasiliensis (rubber tree). Lineage: Eukaryota; Viridiplantae; Streptophyta; Magnoliopsida; Malpighiales; Euphorbiaceae. The record is from RNAcentral.